GUUAGGAAUAUUGGACAAUGGGCGAAAGCCUGAUCCAGCCAUGCCGCGUGAACGAUGAAGGCCUUCGGGUUGUAAAGUUCUUUAGCCGAUGAUUAUAAUGACUGUAGUCGGAAAAUAAGCCCCGGCUAACUUCGUGCCAGCAGCCGCGGUAAUACGAAGGGGGCGAGCGUUAUUCGGAAUCACUGGGCGUAAAGCGUGCGUAGGCGGUUUUGUAAGUUAGGAGUGAAAGCCCAGGGCUCAACCUUGGAAUUGCUCUUAAAACUGCAAGGCUCGAAUCUCGGAGAGGAUAGCGGAAUUUCCAGUGUAGCAGUGAAAUGCGUAGAUAUUGGAAGGAACACCAGUGGCGUAAGCGGCUAUCUGGACGAGUAUUGACGCUGAGGCAUGAAAGCGUGGGGAUCAAACAGGAUUAGAAACCCCUGUAGUCC
This 425-nucleotide ribosomal RNA is filed under the name uncultured bacterium. RNAcentral's name for it is "partial 16S ribosomal RNA". It matches the Rfam family "Bacterial small subunit ribosomal RNA", at positions 354 to 796 of the family's 1533-position model. The record is from RNAcentral.